This 4378-nucleotide long non-coding RNA is filed under the name Mus musculus (house mouse). RNAcentral describes it as "long non-coding RNA chr10:115391572-115395950". The record is from RNAcentral. Lineage: Eukaryota; Metazoa; Chordata; Mammalia; Rodentia; Muridae.
UUGAUUUUGUAGUGUUUAAACUGCCUUUAUAUCAGUUAGUUUAAAUAUUUUUUUUAAAAAAUCCUUAUUUAGUAUUUUCUUUAUUAAGAUAUAAUUUUUUGCAAUGACAUGUACUUUUUACUAUAUAGUUUCUCUAAAUUUUGACUUAUGUAGACAGUUGAAUAAUAAUAACUGAUAUUCAUCACUAGCCAUUCCAGGUAAGUUACACGCCUCUUUAUUUUUGUAAUAUUUUUCUUUCUUUUUUUUUAUUUUAAAGAUUUAUUUAUUUAUUAUAUGUAAGUACACUGUAGCUGUCCUCAGACACACCAGACGAGGGCGUCAGAUCUCAUUUCGGGUGGUUGCUGGGAUUUGAACUCUGGACCUAUGGAAGAGCAUUUGGGUGCUCUUACCCACUGAGCCAUCUCACCAGCCCCUUGUAAUAUUUUUCUUGUGUGUGUGUGUGUGUGUGUGUGUGUGUGUGAUCCUUGAGUGUCAUCAGCAGGCUUGGAGGACAAGCACUUUACCUACUGACUUAAUCUUAUUAUCCCUAUUCCUUUAAUACUUAACAGGUCUCUUAAUCCUUAGUCCAUCUGGUGACCACUGGUCUGCUCCUAGGAUUUUCCAGAGUAACAUAAAUUGUAACAUAUAGUUUGCUUGCUUAUUUAUUUAUAUUAUUGAGGAUUAGACCAAGCAAUUUGUUGCUGAGUGAGAUUCUCAACUCUUAUUUUUACUUUCUGCUUUAUAGUAGAAAUAGGCAGGGUUUCACUAAAUUGCUCAAGGUAGCCUUGCCUCAAUCUCAAAAGUUACCGGAAUUGUAGGCUGGUACCACCAGCCCUGAAUUUUGAUUCUAGGCUUUUUUUUUUCCCCCCUUCACAUAGCACACUGUUUGAAAUUCAUCCAUGUAGUUUUGUAUAUCACUAAUUCAUUCCUGAUUUUAGUUGCUGAGUAGUGUUCCCAUGUAUGGCUACAGUAGUUAUGCAUAUGAUAGAGGGAUGUUUGUAUUUUUUUUUAAAAAGAUUUAUUUAUUUAUUUAUUUUAUAUGAGUGCUCUGUCUUCAGGCACACCAGAAGAGGGUGUCGGAUCCCUUUACAGAUGGUUGUGAGCCACCAUGUGAAUUUUGGGAAUUAAACUCAGGAUUUCUGGAAGAGCAGUCAGUGCUCUUAACCACUGAGCCAUCUCUCCAGCCUGGGAUAUUUGUAUUUUAAUAUAAAGGUUGGCAACUGAUUCAUCUGGUCUUCUAACCUUAAUACCCCAGACCCCUGUUUUCCUUGCCAAAUUUUAAUGUAAGGUUAUGAUAUCCAUAAAAUGAAUUAAGGUUGGUUUCUGAGCUCUUCUAAAGAGUUGUUUAAGAUUAGAAUCAUACCUGGAAUAUGUAGUGAACUUUGCCAGUAAAAAUGCCUGGGUUUUGGAUGGAGGGCUUUUUUUUUUCUUUUCUUUUCUGGGAUAUUGUUUUUGGUUCUUGUUGCAUUGCAGAUUGAACCCCAUGGCCUGACACAUGCUAGAAAACUUUGUAUGACUAAGCCACCCCUCCAUCUUAAUAUUUUAAUUGAUAUAAAGAUCUAUUAAGUUUUAUUGAAAAUUUGCCACUAUGAUGGUGAAUUUGCUGUUUGUAUGUUAAGAGGCAGAGUUUUAUGUUGCCCAGGCUAGCCUUGAACUCUUUGCCUCUAGUGAUCUUCCUGCUGUAACUUUCCAAGAAAGUGGUAUGCACUAGGACUCUUGAUAAGGACAGCAUUUUUGUGUGUGAUUAUGUAUCAAACCCAGUACCUACCUCAUGUAUACAAAGCUAGGUUGUACCUGCUUGGUAUUUUAAUUCCCAUUUCAACAUUAACCCAAUACAAUCUUUUCAGUCCUUACCACAGCACAGAAACUUUGCAGUGUUAAAGCUAUAUUUGGCUAGGUUCUGUACAAUCCAGUUGCUGAAUUCAGUGGUUUUUUUUUUUUUUUCCACAUUUCCUUUUAUUCACAAACUAAUUGAGUACUUUAUUCCAGGCUAUUGCAACUGUUAAUGAACAAAAUAAUUGUUUAUGCCUCCAUAGGUUUGCUUUUAUUUUGUACUUAAUGUUUUCUAGCCUUGUUUCAUUCUGCUGCCUAGGCUCAUCUCUGAUGCCUAGGCUCACGCAAUCAUCCCACUUGAGAAUCUGGGUCUAUAGAUGUGUAAUACUGCACCCUAAAGGUCACUAUGACAUCAGACACUUGCAUCUCAGAAAGAAACAUAGCACACAUGAUGAGCAAAUUAGUAUGAAAGAAGUAUUAGCAGGGUAAGUAGGAUGGGAGUAGGGUAUCGGGUUGAAUGUUAGUAGGUUGUUCAGGAUAGUGUUCAUUUGAAGGUGUAAUUUAAAGUUUUGUAGACUGUUAAGAAAGGACAGAAGAAAUUUCUGGGCAAAGCAUUAUGGAUUUUAAAGAUAGAGUAACAUUACUUGUCAGCUUGAUAGAAAUACAGAUUAGGCCUUUCCCAAGAUCUAGUGAAUUGUGAGCUCUGGAAGUAGGACUCAGUGGCCUUAAUGUAGCAGAUCCCUCUCUGUUGGUUUCUCAUAUGUCAUAAAGUGAGAAUCUAUGGGCUGGGAUAAAGACCCUACUGCAGAUGGAUUCCUGCCAUACUUGCAAAUAACAAGAAGCCAUCUUACUAAGGAAGAGUGUUGGAGAGGAGAUUAGAGAUGGUGUCUUAGGUUGUCUGUUGUAGACACCAUGGCCAAGGCAACUCUUACAAGGGACAACAUUUAAUUGGGGCUGGCUUAUAAAUUCAGAGGUUCAGUCCAUUAUCAUCAUAGCAGGAAGCAUGGCAGCAUCUAGGCAAACACAGUGCUGGAGGAAAAGCUGAGAGUUCUUGAUUUAAAGGUAACCAGGAGGGUCUCAAAGCCCAUGCCCAAAGGGACACGCUUCCUCCAUCAAGGCCACACCUCCUAAUAGUGCCACUCCUUGGACCAAGCAUAUUCAAUUCAAACCACAGAUGGUUUCUGGAGGCACAGUAUCUAGAAACAUACAACUUUGGUUUUAAGUUCUGAGUGACGUGGAGCAGGAAUUCUUUUUUUUUUUUUUUUUUUUUUUUUGGUUUUUCGAGACAGGGUUUCUCUGUAUAGCCCUGGCUGUCCUGGACCUCACUCUGUAGACCAGGCUGGCCUCGAACUCAGAAAUCCGCCUGCCUCUGCCUCCCGAGUGCUGGGAUUAAAGGCGUGCGCCACCACGCCUGGCUCUGGAGGAGGAAUUCUUAGAAGUUCUGUUCUGAGUAAAAGUCCUCCAAAACUUAUGUUUGGUUUGAGACACAAUAUCAACAAGCAGCCCUGGCUGUCUUUAGAACUCUGUAGACCAUGGUGGCCUUGAACUGCAGAGAUCUUUUUGCUUCUGCUUCCUGACUUCUGAGAUUAAAGGUAAAUACUACCACACCUGCCUCUCUUUUUUUCUUCUUCAUUUUUUUUUUUUUUUAAAGAAUACUUUUUCCAUUGGUAGUCAUGGUACAUGCCGCUGAACUCAUCCCAGCAUGCAGGAAGCAGAGGCUUGGUGGAUGGGUCUCUUGAGUUGGAGGCUAGCCUGCCCUACAGAGAGAGAACAAGCAGGGCUAUACAGAGAAACCCUGCCUUGAAAAACCAAACAAAAGAAUACUUUUUCCCAUGCAGCUUACUAAUUUUUAUGUCCGUGAUUUUUCCAUUUUCCUGGGACAUCCUUACUGUUGUUUUUACUACCAUCUUCAUGCAGAUUCCAGCUUAUAUGCAGUUCCAGGAGUAAGAUUCAACUCCUUGGAAACUAUGUAAGGCCAGUUCACAUAUUGGAGUUUCUAGAUAAACAUUGAAAUAAUAGCAGGUCUGAUAGUGCCUAUCUGUGGUUCUACUACUUGGGAGCUGGAGGCAGGGGAACAUAGUGAGACCUUUUCCCCAUCCUUCAAAAACACUGGACUAAUAUAGAGGCUAGACAUGGUAGAAUAAUAUAACUAACCACAAGGUCAAUUUAAGCAAUGACCUCCAUUUAUAAUCUACAUGUAAAGUCUUAUAUCUGAAUCUCAUGGUUUCUUGUUUUGCUAUUGUGCUCAGAAGGUCCAUUCUAAUAGGUUUUUGAUGCUGUGCUACAAAGGAGGUUCUGCCACUUUCUACAGAAGCAUGAUGUCUUAGUUCAUUCUUAGAUGCUUCAUGGCCAGAUGAAACCCAGGAUUCUCAUGUAUGUGGAAAAUAGAGCGCUUUCUAUAUAUACUAGAAGGCUGUGUCUUUUUUUGUUAGCCUGUUUAGUUUUGUCUAAUAGUUGUUACUUUGACUGUGAUUGAUUUUAUUAUACUGGUAGAUGUACAUUUUUAUCUUAUUUUAUUUUAUUUUAUUUAUUGAGACGGGGUCUCAUCAGGCCUGGGACUUGCUCUAUAGACCAGACUGGCCUUCAUCUGCCUGCUUCUGCCUCCCAAGUGCUGGGAUUAAAUAAG